This 373-nucleotide ribosomal RNA is filed under the name uncultured organism. RNAcentral's name for it is "partial 16S ribosomal RNA". It matches the Rfam family "Bacterial small subunit ribosomal RNA", at positions 527 to 896 of the family's 1533-position model. The record is from RNAcentral.
AGAGGUCUCAAGCGUUGUUCGGAUUUACUGGGGCGUAAAGAGUGCGUAGGCGGCGAGGUAAGUCAGAUGUGAAAGCUCAGGGGCUCAACCCUGAAAUUGCAUCCGAUACUGCCUUGCUAGAGUAAUGGAGGGGAGUCUGGAAUUCACGGUGUAGCAGUGAAAUGCGUAGAGAUCGUGAGGAACACUAGUGGCGAAGGCGAGACUCUGGACAUUUACUGACGCUCAGGCACGAAGGCUAGGGUAGCGAAGCGGAUUAGAUACCCGCGUAGUCCUAGCAGUAAACGGUGCGCGUUUGGUGUGGGAGGAUUCGACCCCUUCCGUGCCGGAGCUAACGCGUUAAACGCGCCGCCUGGGGAGUACGAUCGCAAGAUUA